This is a long non-coding RNA of Sapajus apella (tufted capuchin), 145 nucleotides long. RefSeq lists it as uncharacterized. The record is from RefSeq and is a predicted model, not a curated record. NCBI's taxonomy places the organism in Eukaryota, Metazoa, Chordata, Mammalia, Primates, Cebidae. The transcript is spliced from 3 exons.
AUAAGCAUAUGAAAAGUUGUUCCACAUCAUACGCCAUCAGGAAAACGCAAAUUAAAACAGCAGUGAGAUACCUCUGCACACCUAUUAGAAUGGCUAAAAUCCAGAACCCUAAAAGCCUAAAUGCUGGAGAGGAUGUGGAGAAAUA